This 253-nucleotide ribosomal RNA is filed under the name uncultured bacterium. RNAcentral's name for it is "partial 16S ribosomal RNA". It matches the Rfam family "Bacterial small subunit ribosomal RNA", at positions 524 to 776 of the family's 1533-position model. The record is from RNAcentral.
UACGGAGGAUCCAAGCGUUAUCCGGAAUCAUUGGGUUUAAAGGGUCCGUAGGCGGUUUGGUAAGUCAGUGGUGAAAGCCCAUCGCUCAACGGUGGAACGGCCAUUGAUACUGCCAGACUUGAAUUAUUAGGAAGUAACUAGAAUAUGUAGUGUAGCGGUGAAAUGCUUAGAGAUUACAUGGAAUACCAAUUGCGAAGGCAGGUUACUACUAAUGGAUUGACGCUGAUGGACGAAAGCGUGGGGAUCGAACAGG